Molecule: ribosomal RNA, 634 nt
Filed under: uncultured bacterium
Lineage: Bacteria
Description: bacterial SSU rRNA
Rfam family: Bacterial small subunit ribosomal RNA
Source: RNAcentral
GUUUGAUCAUGGCUCAGGAUGAACGCUGGCGGCGUGCCUAACACAUGCAAGUCGAACGAAGCACCUUUUGAGAUUCUUCGGAUGAUCGAUCGGUGACUGAGUGGCGGACGGGUGAGUAACGCGUGGGUAACCUGCCCUGUACAGGGGGAUAACAGCUGGAAACGGCUGCUAAUACCGCAUAAGCGCACGAGGAGACAUCUCCUAGUGUGAAAAACUCCGGUGGUACAGGAUGGGCCCGCGUCUGAUUAGCUGGUUGGCAGGGUAACGGCCUACCAAGGCAACGAUCAGUAGCCGGUCUGAGAGGAUGAACGGCCACAUUGGAACUGAGACACGGUCCAAACUCCUACGGGAGGCAGCAGUGGGGAAUAUUGCACAAUGGGGGAAACCCUGAUGCAGCAACGCCGCGUGAGUGAAGAAGUAUUUCGGUAUGUAAAGCUCUAUCAGCAGGGAAGAUAAUGACGGUACCUGACUAAGAAGCUCCGGCUAAAUACGUGCCAGCAGCCGCGGUAAUACGUAUGGAGCAAGCGUUAUCCGGAUUUACUGGGUGUAAAGGGUGCGUAGGUGGCAGUGCAAGUCAGAUGUGAAAGGCCGGGGCUCAACCCCGGAGCUGCAUUUGAAACUGCUCGGCUAGAGU